AUCCUACGGGGGGCAGCAGUGGGGAAUAUUGCACAAUGGGGGAAACCCUGAUGCAGCGACGCCGCGUGAGUGAAGAAGUAUUUCGGUAUGUAAAGCUCUAUCCGCAGGGAAGAAAAUGACGGUACCUGACUAAGAAGCCCCGGCUAACUACGUGCCAGCAGCCGCGGUAAUACGUAUGGAGCAAGCGUUAUCCGGAUUUACUGGGUGUAAAGGGAGCGCAGACGGCAAGGCAAGUCUGAUGUGCAAGUCCGAGGCUCAACCUCGGGACUGCAUUGGAAACUGUCUGGCUAGAGUGCAGGAGAGGG
Molecule: ribosomal RNA, 305 nt
Filed under: uncultured bacterium
Lineage: Bacteria
Description: bacterial SSU rRNA
Rfam family: Bacterial small subunit ribosomal RNA
Source: RNAcentral